Molecule: ribosomal RNA, 1964 nt
Filed under: human gut metagenome
Description: bacterial LSU rRNA
Rfam family: Bacterial large subunit ribosomal RNA
Source: RNAcentral
UCAAGCUAAUAAGAGCACAGGGUGGAUGCCCAGGCACCAAACGCCGACGAAAGACGUGGCAAGCUGCGAAAAGUCACGGGGAACCGCAAGCAGGUAUUGAUCCGUGAACGUCUGAAUGGGGAAACCCGGCGGGUUAACAGCCCGUCACUAUUAACUGAAUCAAUAGGUUAAUAGAGGGAACGCGGGGAACUGAAACAUCUCAGUACCCGUAGGAAGAGAAAAUAAAGAAUGAUUUCCUAAGUAGCGGCGAGCGAACGGGAAAGAGGCCAAACCGAAGGGCUUGCUCUUCGGGGUUGUGGAUCAGCAAAAAGGACGGAAGACCUUAGCAGAAGAGGAUUGGAAAGUCCCGCCAGAGAGGGUAAAAGCCCCUUACGCGAAAAGGUCAAACGACGAGCUGACACCAGAGUACCGCAGGACACGAGAAAUCCGGUGGGAAGCCGGGAGGACCACCUCCCAAGCCUAAAUACGAAUUGGUGACCGAUAGCGCAUAGUACCGUGAGGGAAAGGUGAAAAGAACCCCGGGAGGGGAGUGAAAAAGAACCUGAAACCCUGUGUUUACAAGCAGUGAAAGUGCAAGUUAGGCACGAUCACGUACUUUUUGUAGAACGGACCGGCGAGUUACGUUAUGCAGCAAGGUUAAGAACUGAAGGUUCGGAGCCGAAGCGAAAGCGAGUCUGAACAGGGCGAUAGUUGCAUGACGUAGACCCGAAACCGGGUGACCUAUCCAUGAGCAGGUUGAAGUGGAGGUAAAGCUCCAUGGAGGACCGAACCAGACGUCUGUUGAAAAAGGCGGGGAUGACUUGUGGAUAGGGGAGAAAUUCCAAUCGAACCCGGAGAUAGCUGGUUCUCCUCGAAAUAGCUUUAGGGCUAGCCUCAUGGAUCAUUGGUGGGGGUAGAGCACUGAAUGUGCGCGGGGGCCACAAAGCCUACCAAACGCUAUCAAACUUCGAAUACCAUACAAUGCAGACCAUGGGAGUCAGUCCGCGAGAGAUAAGUUCCGCGGGCAAAAGGGGAACACCCCAGAUCAACCGCUAAGGUCCCCAAGUUCACGUUAAGUGGAGAAGGAUGUGGAAUUGCACAGACAACCAGGAUGUUGGCUCAGAAGCAGCCACACAUUUAAAGAGUGCGUAAUAGCUCACUGGUCGAGUGAUUGUGCGCCGAAGAUGUCCGGGGCUAAACGUGACACCGAAGCGAUGGGUGCAUCUGAAAGGAUGCGCGGUAGAGGAGCAAUGUGCAGAGGCAGAAGCCGUAUCGAGAGGCACGGUGGACACUGCACAAGAGAGAAUGCCGGUAUGAGUAGCGAGAGGCAUGCGAGAAACAUGCCCGUCGAAAGCCCAAGGUUUCCUGGGGAAGGUUCAUCCGCCCAGGGUAAGUCGGGGCCUAAGCCGAGGACGGAAGUCGUAGGCGAUGGACAGCAGGUGUAGAUUCCUGCACUACCGAUGGAAUGAAGCAGUGACACAGAAGGAUAACUCGAGCAGGGUGAUGGUCAACCCUGUGCAAGCAUCAAGGUUGGGUUGUAGUGAAGUACGCAAUCCUACAAGCUGAGGUGUGAUGCGGACCGAAAUUUCAGUAGGGAAGCGAGUGAGUUCACGCUGGCGAGAAAAGCUGCUAGUAUAUCCAAAGGUACCCGUACCGGAAACCGACGCAGGUGGGCGAGGAGAGAAUCCUGAGACGAACGGGAGAACCCUUGUUAAGGAACUCGGCAAAAUGACCCCGUAACUUCGGGAUAAGGGGUGCCUGCGAGAGCAGGCCGCAGAGAAUAGUCACAAGCGACUGUUUAGCAAAAACACAGGUAUCUGCGAAAGCGAGAGCUGACGUAUAGGUGCUGACACCUGCCCGGUGCUGGAAGGUUAAGGGAACAUGUUAGAGCAAUCGAAGCAUCGAACCGAAGCCCCAGUAAACGGCGGCCGUAACUAUAACGGUCCUAAGGUAGCGAAAUUCCUUGUCGGGUAAGUUCCGACCCG